UGCUGUGAACAGACACCAUGACCAAGGCAAC
Molecule: non-coding RNA, 31 nt
Filed under: Mus musculus (house mouse)
Lineage: Eukaryota; Metazoa; Chordata; Mammalia; Rodentia; Muridae
Source: RNAcentral